GUUGCGGCCAAUCGCCUCGUCGUCCGAUCGCCGGGGAGCGUGCACCUGCAAAAGGAAGUCCGCACUGACCGGAGGCGGCUCCGGCGGGGACCCUCCGACGGUCAAGUCAGAGAGGUGAUUGGGCAACAGUGAAAUGUAGACAGAGAGCUCUGAGAGAGAGAGAGGAGCGAGCCUGCGUUUUUGGGAGAGACGGAGCGGAUCGAUCCUUUGCACUGUUGCCUUCCCCGGUUUAUAUAGUGGAGCACGGUAUGGCGCCGUCAUUAAUGGCGCGGACAAGUGAGGAACUGUCAACUCACUGUGGACUGUCAGAGUCGCCGUGAAAAUGUCACAUCGCCGUGCGGCUGUCAAAUCACCAGGGUUGACAAUGCCCUCGGCGGGACAAUGCCCCUAGGUAGCCGUGCCGCAUGUCGCUGUCAGAGCUGACAAGGUCUGACGGCUGUACGGCGGUUGGAGGAGCCGACCGACCCAAAGUCGGUGGCCAGCUGAGUGGUGUCGGGCCCCUCCGUUGGUCGGCG
Molecule: long non-coding RNA, 515 nt
Filed under: Elaeis guineensis (African oil palm)
Lineage: Eukaryota; Viridiplantae; Streptophyta; Magnoliopsida; Arecales; Arecaceae
Description: long non-coding RNA (EGUI_LNC017707)
Source: RNAcentral